Molecule: small RNA, 522 nt
Filed under: Hypocreales sp.
Lineage: Eukaryota; Fungi; Ascomycota; Sordariomycetes; Hypocreales
Description: eukaryotic LSU rRNA
Rfam family: 5.8S ribosomal RNA (bases 144-297)
Source: RNAcentral
UCCCAAACCCCUGUGAACAUACCUUUUGUUGCCUCGGCGGGAUCGCCCCGGCGCCUUCGGGCCCGGACCCAGGCGCCCGCCGCAGGACCCUAAACUCUUGUUUUCUAUAUGAAUCUUCUGAGUGACACAAGCAAAUAAAUUAAAACUUUCAACAACGGAUCUCUUGGUUCUGGCAUCGAUGAAGAACGCAGCGAAAUGCGAUAAGUAAUGUGAAUUGCAGAAUUCAGUGAAUCAUCGAAUCUUUGAACGCACAUUGCGCCCGGCAGUAUUCUGCCGGGCAUGCCUGUUCGAGCGUCAUUUCAACCCUCAAGCCCCCGGGCUUGGUGUUGGAGAUCGGCCCGCCCCCGUGGCAGGCCGGCUCCGAAAUCUAGUGGCGGUCCCGCUGUAACUUCCUCUGCGUAGUAGCAAUAUCUCGCACCGGAAAGCGACGGAGCCUUGCCGUAAAACCCCCAACUUCUGAAGGUUGACCUCGGAUCAGGUAGGAAUACCCGCUGAACUUAAGCAUAUCAAUAAGCGGAGGAA